AGAUCACUUGAGCCCGGGAAGUUGAGGCUGUAGUGAGCCAUGCUCGUGCCGCUGCGCUCCAACCUGGGUGACAGAC
Molecule: small nuclear RNA, 76 nt
Filed under: Homo sapiens (human)
Lineage: Eukaryota; Metazoa; Chordata; Mammalia; Primates; Hominidae
Description: partial ncRNA
Source: RNAcentral